RNAcentral lists this unclassified non-coding RNA (334 nucleotides) under Hevea brasiliensis (rubber tree). Lineage: Eukaryota; Viridiplantae; Streptophyta; Magnoliopsida; Malpighiales; Euphorbiaceae. The record is from RNAcentral.
AUUGCUCAUAUGUACAAGACUGAUCGAAACAAGUAUGAAACAACUGCUCGAAGCUGGACCCAAAAGUACGCCAUGGGUUAGUUGCUGUUGCAAUGCAUCUGUAGAGGGGGUCUCCUUUCCCUCUGUGUUUUUGGGCAUUAUCAGUAAUGUGUUUAGAUAUGAAGUGUUUUUUAUGGCUUAAUCAGUUUCAAGGGGAACAGUUGUGUUUUUGUCUCUUGAAACACAAAUCUUUGCCUUUUGUUUUGUAAAAUCCAACGGUUAUGCUACUCUUAUGGAUAGGUCAAAAUUAAGCAGUUUGACCAUUUUGUAUGUGUAUGAAAAUGUUUCCUUAAAA